AUUGAACGCUGGCGGCAUGCCUUACUCUUGCAAGUCGAACGGCAGCACGGAGCUUGCUCUGGUGGCGAGUGGCGAACGGGUGAGUAAUAUAUCGGAACGUACCCUAGAGUGGGGAUAACGUAGCGAAAGUUACGCUAAUACCGCAUACGAUCUAAGGAUGAAAGUGGGGGAUCGCAAGACCUCAUGCUCGUGGAGCGGCCGAUAUCUGAUUAGCUAGUUGGUAGGGUAAAAGCCUACCAAGGCAUCGAUCAGUAGCUGGUCUGAGAGGACGACCAGCCACACUGGAACUGAGACACGGUCCAGACUCCUACGGGAGGCAGCAGUGGGGAAUUUUGGACAAUGGGCGAAAGCCUGAUCCAGCAAUGCCGCGUGAGUGAAGAAGGCCUUCGGGUUGUAAAGCUCUUUUGUCAGGGAAGAAACGGUGAAAGCUAAUAUCUUUUGCUAAUGACGGUACCUGAAGAAUAAGCACCGGCUAACUACGUGCCAGCAGCCGCGGUAAUACGUAGGGUGCAAGCGUUAAUCGGAAUUACUGGGCGUAAAGCGUGCGCAGGCGGUUUUGUAAGUCUGAUGUGAAAUCCCCGGGCUCAACCUGGGAAUUGCAUUGGAGACUGCAAGGCUAGAAUCUGGCAGAGGGGGGUAGAAUUCCACGUGUAGCAGUGAAAUGCGUAGAUAUGUGGAGGAACACCGAUGGCGAAGGCAGCCCCCUGGGUCAAGAUUGACGCUCAUGCACGAAAGCGUGGGGAGCAAACAGGAUUAGAUACCCUGGUAGUCCACGCCCUAAACGAUGUCUACUAGUUGUCGGGUCUUAAUUGACUUGGUAACGCAGCUAACGCGUGAAGUAGACCGCCUGGGGAGUACGGUCGCAAGAUUAAAACUCAAAGGAAUUGACGGGGACCCGCACAAGCGGUGGAUGAUGUGGAUUAAUUCGAUGCAACGCGAAAAACCUUACCUACCCUUGACAUGGCUGGAAUCCUUGAGAGAUCAGGGAGUGCUCGAAAGAGAACCAGUACACAGGUGCUGCAUGGCUGUCGUCAGCUCGUGUCGUGAGAUGUUGGGUUAAGUCCCGCAACGAGCGCAACCCUUGUCAUUAGUUGCUACGAAAGGGCACUCUAAUGAGACUGCCGGUGACAAACCGGAGGAAGGUGGGGAUGACGUCAAGUCCUCAUGGCCCUUAUGGGUAGGGCUUCACACGUCAUACAAUGGUACAUACAGAGCGCCGCCAACCCGCGAGGGGGAGCUAAUCGCAGAAAGUGUAUCGUAGUCCGGAUUGUAGUCUGCAACUCGACUGCAUGAAGUUGGAAUCGCUAGUAAUCGCGGAUCAGCAUGUCGCGGUGAAUACGUUAAAGGGUCU
RNAcentral lists this ribosomal RNA (1351 nucleotides) under uncultured bacterium. Its description in RNAcentral is "bacterial SSU rRNA". It matches the Rfam family "Bacterial small subunit ribosomal RNA", at positions 28 to 1381 of the family's 1533-position model. The record is from RNAcentral.